Molecule: ribosomal RNA, 504 nt
Filed under: uncultured bacterium
Lineage: Bacteria
Description: bacterial SSU rRNA
Rfam family: Bacterial small subunit ribosomal RNA
Source: RNAcentral
GGCUUAGGAUGAACGCUAGCGACAGGCCUAACACAUGCAAGUCGAGGGGCAGCACAAGGAGCAAUCUGAGGUGGCGACCGGCGCACGGGUGAGUAACACGUAUGCAACCUGCCUGUAAGCGGGGAAUAACCCGUUGAAAGACGGACUAAUACCGCAUAAUACUAAAUUACUGCAUGGUAAUUUAUUUAAACAUUUAUGGCUUACAGAUGGGCAUGCGCAUGAUUAGCUAGUUGGAGAGGUAACGGCUCCCCAAGGCAACGAUCAUUAGGGGUUCUGAGAGGAAGGUCCCCCACACUGGUACUGAGACACGGACCAGACUCCUACGGGAGGCAGCAGUGAGGAAUAUUGGUCAAUGGACGAGAGUCUGAACCAGCCAAGUCGCGUGCAGGAAGAAUGUCCUUAAUGGAUUGUAAACUGCUUUUGCAGGGGAAUAAAGUGCAUCACGUGUGAUGUUUUGUAUGUACUCUGCGAAUAAGGAUCGGCUAACUCCGUGCCAGCCGCAGC